RNAcentral lists this unclassified non-coding RNA (391 nucleotides) under fungal sp. Its description in RNAcentral is "partial internal transcribed spacer region". The stretch from base 1 to 46 matches the Rfam family "Eukaryotic small subunit ribosomal RNA", at positions 1786 to 1831 of the family's 1831-position model. The record is from RNAcentral. Lineage: Eukaryota; Fungi.
AAGUCGUAACAAGGUUUCCGUAGGUGAACCUGCGGAAGGAUCAUUAACACGUAUCCAACGUUAAAACCCCCCCCGUGAACUUUCAAUCCUGCUCUUGUAACCCGCGUAGUUCGCAAUCUCUGGUAAAUCAUAGCCCGGAAAGUUGUUUUGAUUCGGAGACCUCUGGCUACGUGAGAACAUUGGAACAGUUACAAUCGAGCGGUAGUUUCAUAGGCAUUGUUUCCCCAAGCAGUCAGUGUCGGAAAGUGUCACUGAUUGUGCAAGGAUAGCGCUUCACGAUUCCUGUAGACCGUACACGCCCCCUUAUAACCCCACAGUUUAAUGUAAAGCUCAAUGUAAUACAUUGGGUAAAAAAACCGAACAACUGUUAACAAUGGAUAUCUUGGUUCUC